Salvelinus sp. IW2-2015 is the source of this 1076-nucleotide long non-coding RNA. RefSeq lists it as uncharacterized. Lineage: Eukaryota; Metazoa; Chordata; Actinopteri; Salmoniformes; Salmonidae. The record is from RefSeq and is a predicted model, not a curated record.
UUUGUUCUGUGGAGAAUCACUGAGGCCAGGGAAGCAUGUACAUCUACCGCKCUGCAUGAUUUGUCCACUUUGAAUAAGAAUAAACAUAUUUUCCUCCCCCUGAUUUGUUUUGGGGUCUGUGUUAUUGAAGAAUAACAUCAACUGCUAACACUUGGUGCYGUGACCCGAAAUGAAUUGGUCUAAACAGCAACAAGAAAAACUCAACUGUGUGUUGAUCCAGAAGAAAGGCUGAGCACAACCCACUUUGGGGAGUCAACUCUUAAUCUCCUGAUUGAUGGCAGAAGUGCUGGGUUAUGAGACUCUACAGUCUGAAGCAAUAUCCCUUGAUCCAGGACUGUACUUGAAAUGAUACAAGAUCACCGGUGAAGUGCUCAUUAGAGAAGUCCUUAUCAACCAGUGGAACGGAAGAAGAAUUCCUCACUACCGGCAGACUGUCAGAACAUCAUCUCAAAUAGUUAUCUAUGGGGGACUGAUAUCAGUGUGGAAGAGCAGGUCACUUUUAAAGGACUUGGUGAAUAAUUACCUUGCCAAUCGAACAAUUUAAUAUUGUCUUGUAGACAAUUAUUUAUUUUGUGUUUCCUCCUAGUACAGGAUGUGGUAGGAAUUGUAAGGGACAUCAUUACACCUGUUAAUACUUAUUUUCUAUAACUUUGUUUGAAAUCUUAUUGUAACAGCAAGUACAAUAUGCCCUUUGUGUUUUAUAGAAAUGCAAGGUGUAAUGUGAAUGAUUUUGUUACUGCCUAUUUGUUCAUGUUUUUUAUUUUCUAAAAKACAUGUUUUUUUUAGGGGGGAGUAAAAAUGUUGAAGAUAAAUACACAACGCAGAGGACGAGAGGACUAGAAUUAACAAUCAAUGGAAAGUGUUUUUUCUGUAGUUACGUGUAGCACAUUCUUAUUGGUACAACCUGAAAUGGRAUACUCGUUAUUUUGUAAUAGGUCAAACACAGGCUAGGGCUGAGUUACAAAGUAGAUCUGGUUCCUUUGUUUUGUGGAGAAUCACUGAGGCCAGGGGAGCAUGUGUAUCUACCUCCCCGCAUGAUGAUUCCUCUUUGAAUAAACCUCUUUUCCUCCCCCUGA